UCCCGGUGAUUGGAGCGCUGUGGCACCACUCCUUCCCAUUCCGAACAGGAUAGUGAAACGCAGCAGCGGGUACGAUACUGACUUGGAAACGAGUUGGGACAAUACCUCAUCGCCGGG
This 117-nucleotide ribosomal RNA is filed under the name Candidatus Roizmanbacteria bacterium GW2011_GWB1_40_7. Lineage: Bacteria; Candidatus Roizmaniibacteriota. The record is from RNAcentral.